CGCCAGCAGCCGCGGUAACACGUAAGGGGCGAGCGUUGUUCGGAAUUAUUGGGCGUAAAGGGCGUGUAGGCGGUUAUGUAAGACUGAUGUAAAAUACACUGGCUUAACCAGUGAAUUGCGUUGGUAACUGCAUAGCUAGAGUUUAGGAGAGGGAACUGGAAUUCCAGGUGUAGGGGUGAAAUCUGUAGAUAUCUGGAAGAACGCCAAAGACGAAGGUAAGUUCCUGGCCAUAGACUGACGCUGAGGCGCGAAAGCGUGGGGAGCAAACAGGAUUAGAUACCCUGGUAGUCCACGCUGUAAACGAUGUGCACUAGGCGUAGGGUGGUUUUUACCGCUCUGUGCCGUAGCUAACGUGAUAAGUGCACCGCCUGGGGAGUAUGCUCGCAAGGGUGAAACUUAAAGGAAUUGGCGGGGGAC
Molecule: ribosomal RNA, 417 nt
Filed under: uncultured bacterium
Lineage: Bacteria
Description: bacterial SSU rRNA
Rfam family: Bacterial small subunit ribosomal RNA
Source: RNAcentral